RNAcentral lists this ribosomal RNA (262 nucleotides) under uncultured bacterium. RNAcentral's name for it is "partial 16S ribosomal RNA". It matches the Rfam family "Bacterial small subunit ribosomal RNA", at positions 515 to 776 of the family's 1533-position model. The record is from RNAcentral.
CAGCGGUAAUACGAAGGGGGCUAGCGUUGUUCGGAAUUACUGGGCGUAAAGCGCACGUAGGCGGCUUUUCAAGUGGCGGGUGAAAUCCCUCGGCUUAACCGGGGAACUGCCUGCCAGACUGGAUAGCUUGAGGCCGGGAGAGGUGAGUGGAAUUCCCAGUGUAGCGGUGAAAUGCGUAGAUAUUGGGAGGAACACCAGUGGCGAAGGCGGCUCACUGGACCGGUACUGACGCUGAGGCGCGAAAGCGUGGGGAGCAAACAGG